GGGGUUGUGGCUCAGUGAUAGAGCACUUGCCUAGCAUGUGUGAGGCCCUGGGUUUGAUCCCCAGCACCA
Molecule: transfer RNA, 69 nt
Filed under: Marmota marmota marmota (Alpine marmot)
Lineage: Eukaryota; Metazoa; Chordata; Mammalia; Rodentia; Sciuridae
Also listed under: 3 other names
Rfam family: tRNA
About the family: Transfer RNA (tRNA) molecules are approximately 80 nucleotides in length.
Source: Rfam by way of RNAcentral